Molecule: ribosomal RNA, 253 nt
Filed under: uncultured bacterium
Lineage: Bacteria
Description: partial 16S ribosomal RNA
Rfam family: Bacterial small subunit ribosomal RNA
Source: RNAcentral
UACGUAGGGAGCAAGCGUUGUCCGGAAUCAUUGGGCGUAAAGCGCGCGCAGGCGGCCUCGUAAGUCCGUUGUGAAAGUCAAAGGCUCAACCUUUGAAAGCCGAUGGAUACUGUGAGGCUAGAGUCCGGAAGAGGCGAGUGGAAUUCCUGGUGUAGCGGUGGAAUGCGCAGAUAUCAGGAGGAACACCGAUAGCGAAGGCAGCUCGCUGGGACGGUACUGACGCUAAGGCGCGAAAGCGUGGGGAGCGAACAGG